AGAGUUUGAUCAUGGCUCAGGAUGAACGCUGGCGGCGUGCCUAAUACAUGCAAGUCGAGCGAAUGGAUUAAGAGCUUGCUCUUAUGGAGUUAGCGGCGGACGGGUGAGUAACACGUGGGUAACCUGCCCAUAAGACUGGGAUAACUCCGGGAAACCGGGGCUAAUACCGGAUAACAUUUUGCACUGCAUGGUGCGAAAUUGAAAGGCGGCUUCGGCUGUCACUUAUGGAUGGACCCGCGUCGCAUUAGCUAGUUGGUGAGGUAACGGCUCACCAAGGCAACGAUGCGUAGCCGACCUGAGAGGGUGAUCGGCCACACUGGGACUGAGACACGGCCCAGACUCCUACGGGAGGCAGCAGUAGGGAAUCUUCCGCAAUGGACGAAAGUCUGACGGAGCAACGCCGCGUGAGUGAUGAAGGCUUUCGGGUCGUAAAACUCUGUUGUUAGGGAAGAACAAGUGCUAGUUGAAUAAGCUGGCACCUUGACGGUACCUAACCAGAAAGCCACGGCUAACUAUGUGCCAGCAGCCGCGGUAAUACGUAGGUGGCAAGCGUUAUCCGGAAUUAUUGGGCGUAAAGCGCGCGCAGGUGGUUUCUUAAGUCUGAUGUGAAAGCCCACGGCUCAACCGUGGAGGGUCAUUGGAAACUGGGAGACUUGAGUGCAGAAGAGGAAAGUGGAAUUCCAUGUGUAGCGGUGAAAUGCGUAGAGAUGUGGAGGAACACCAGUGGCGAAGGCGACUUUCUGGUCUGUAACUGACACUGAGGCGCGAAAGCGUGGGGAGCAAACAGGAUUAGAUACCCUAGUAGUCC
RNAcentral lists this ribosomal RNA (808 nucleotides) under uncultured bacterium. Its description in RNAcentral is "bacterial SSU rRNA". It matches the Rfam family "Bacterial small subunit ribosomal RNA", at positions 8 to 796 of the family's 1533-position model. The record is from RNAcentral.